This is a long non-coding RNA of Oncorhynchus tshawytscha (Chinook salmon), 361 nucleotides long. The record is from Ensembl. Lineage: Eukaryota; Metazoa; Chordata; Actinopteri; Salmoniformes; Salmonidae.
GUGUGAGAGCCCCGUGUGUGUACUGUAUGUGUGAGAGCCCCAGUGUGUGUACUGUAGGUGUGCUUUUGGAUCCCCUUUUUCCAUUACUUGAACUCUACUUGGGCAAUAACAUGUUUUCUCUGCAUUGUUGCCUUUUCCUCUCCUCUCUUUCUUCUCCUGCUUUCUGAGGUACUGUGCUUUAAUCGUACAAAACCUUACAAGACAGAAGCUUUAGCUAGAGUCGUGUCUUCCUUAUGCAGCUGGGCCUUUAUAUUCAGAUUCUGCUUUCACUAGAAUGUCUUUGUUUAUCACUUUCCACAUUUCUUCCCAUUUUGUCUCAUCUCUCCUGAAAGGGCCUUAGUACUCCUUAAGCUGCUCAUCC